This 1053-nucleotide long non-coding RNA is filed under the name Anas platyrhynchos platyrhynchos (common mallard). RNAcentral's name for it is "lncRNA (ENSAPLG00000023818.1)". The record is from RNAcentral. Lineage: Eukaryota; Metazoa; Chordata; Aves; Anseriformes; Anatidae.
AUGCUCACACACGUGCACACCUGCGCUGCACACCCGUGUCUGCGUGCGUGCAGGCGCACGGGGCCCUGGCACAACCUGGCACAUGGGCCACCAGCCGGACACCCUGCUCUGCCCUGCAGCCCCGGGGUGGGAAGGGGCUGCUCAGGUGGGACCCCAGUGCCCCCCAGGGGGCAGCAAGGGCAGGGGAGGGCAGGAGCAGGGGGUCCCCUCACUGUCACCUGCACCUGCAGCAUGUGCCAUCGCUGUGCCGGGUCAGCCAGGGACACCGUGCUCUUGCUGGAGGCGAUGCGUGCUGGUGGCAGGAGGAGGCUGGCACGCUUUUGGCACCUCUCCCCGUUGGGGACCGUGCUGCGGGCACGUGGCCACCCUGCGUGCCCCGCAGCAGGGCUCCAGGAGAGGGGCUCUGCCCCUGGCUCUCCCUUCCCCAAGCACCCCAGCCUCUCCCUGCCAGCCCCAGAUGUGCUGGGGAGAGGGAGGGAGCAGCCCCGGCAGCUGCAGAGCACCCGGGCCAGAUGCGCCGGGCGCACUUUGCGAGCCCUGCGGAGGCUGCCGAACCCCAGGCCUGUACUUAUCCAGCCGCGACAUGGCACGGGAAGAAAGGACAUUCCUCCCGUAGGAACAGCCUGCACGCAUGGCGUCAUCCCCUCCUCACUGCGAGGGAAGCCACAGGGAGGGUGUUCCCGGUCCCCCAGCCCCUCCGCAGCCCGGGCUGGCCCCAAGGAGCCGUGCUGGGAUGCUGCCUGUGCCACCCCAGCCCCAGCGGUUGCUCCCAUCCCCUGCUGGCUGCCAGGGCAGGAGCCGUCCUGGCCCGAAUUCAGCAGACUCAGCAUUUUGGGGCUGAGCCUGGCUGUCACCAAGCCCAGCUAUGGCAGGAAGAGCGCAUCAGAGCCUCGCUGGAUGCUGGGGUGCCUUCGUUUGCUGCCCCACUGCAGCCUGUCUGCAACGGGCACGGGCAGCACUGAGCCUCCAGGAAUGGUUUUCCCAUCUAAAUGGUGCAGGGGAACCAAGCUGCCCCACCAGCCGUGCCUGGGGGACUGCUCGGAGCUGUGCUGA